GAUGAACGCUGGCGGCGUGCCUAACACAUGCAAGUCGAACGGACAGGCCCUGCUUUUGCGGGUCGCUCGAGUGGCGAACGGGUGAGUAUCACGCGUGUAAACCCCCCUUGUCUGUGGGAUAACUUCAGGAAAAUCGGGCUAAUACCGGGUAGAAGCUCUUGAUGCACGGGGGGGGUUGGAAAGUUGCGGCUUUUGGGGAUGGACUCGCGGCUUCCCCGCUUGUUGGGGGGGUAGUGGCUUACCAAGUUUUCGACGGGUAGCCCGCCUGAGAGGGUGACCGGCCACCAUGGUACUGAGGUACGCCCCAGUCUCCUACGGGAGGCAGCAGUGGAGAAUAUUGCGCAAUGGGCGCGCGCCUGAUACGGCGGCGCCGCGUGCGGGAUGCCGUCCUACGAGGGAAAAACCGCUUUCUCAGGUGCCGAAGCGGGCGUGACGGUAACGAGUAAGAAAGCACCGGCUAACUACGUG
RNAcentral lists this ribosomal RNA (468 nucleotides) under uncultured bacterium. RNAcentral describes it as "partial 16S ribosomal RNA". It matches the Rfam family "Bacterial small subunit ribosomal RNA", at positions 28 to 507 of the family's 1533-position model. The record is from RNAcentral.